Molecule: long non-coding RNA, 1156 nt
Organism: Mesocricetus auratus (golden hamster)
Lineage: Eukaryota; Metazoa; Chordata; Mammalia; Rodentia; Cricetidae
Exons: 3
Source: RefSeq, a predicted model, not a curated record
GCAGCGCCACCCCUUCCUCUCCACCUACUUCUGCCACAUCUGGGGAAAUAACAGGACGCCUUCCUUUCCGAAAUGAGGAAACAUUAUGGGGAGCCCGGGGCAUUUCCGGGGUUGGGGGUCAGAAGGACACUCACCCGCAUGGCCUGGCCUGGAGCAGCCCAGAGCAAGGAUUCUCCUCUCUAUGCUGCUCCCGUUAGCAGCUCAAAAUAGCACAGGCUGCAGCCCCGCCCCUGGUCCCCUCCCUCUCCCAGGCCCCUCCCGCUGCAGCUGCCCAACCCUGCCAGAGCUGUGGAGACAGCAGAGGCUGGAGGACUGCGGGUACCAGGGAGAGAGGGACUGGAAAAAACCCAAGCCUGUCACCCACAGCCGGUUCUAAGCACCAGUGGUCCUGCAAAGAUGGCAUCCUCUAAGAACAGACUGGACAAUCAUGGAAAACCAGCAUAAGGGUCAGCCACACUGAUUAAUAAAACCCAAAGGAGGUCUUCCAGGGUGUGAGGGCUGGACUGUGGGACUCCUCAAAGUCAGAGAGGCCCCUCCAGACACCCUCAGGUUCCCCCAAUGGGGGGGGACAAAGAGCCACUGUUUGAAGAUUUGUGUGUUCACUUCUGGAAGCCCUUACUGGGCCUGUUUCUAGAACCCUUUGAAGUAACAACAAAGCCAAGCCCAGUCCCCACAGAAGCAGGAAGAAGGCUUUCUGCUUUGCCUACCUGGCCUCCACCCCGCCCCCCCCCCGCCCCCACGUGCGAAGCCCGCCAAACCCACUGGGGCAUGCGAGCACCUGCGCUGUUGCCAGGCUGGGCAGAGCCGUGCUUGGCGUGGUGAGGGAGCGCUGCCCCAGUUGUGGUGGCACAUUACCAGGGGCCUGCUGUCCCCAGGGCAUGGGAUUCCAGAGUUGGUGAAGUGGAGGAAUGGCCAGAGAGAACACACCUUCCUUCCGGAAAGAAAGGGGAAAUGCCACCAGGCCCAGCCUGGCGGGAGGGGGCGGCGAGCUCUCCGCAGAAGGAGAUAAGACUGACUGUCUCCCUGCCCCCACCCCUCACUUCUGGGUGCCCUGUGGACCUGCACUGCUCAAUGCAGGAGCCACUGGCCAUGGGUGGCCAUUCAAUUUUAAGUUAAAUAAAAACAUUGGGGCUGUUUCUCAUUAAAUGAAAAUUAA